This 600-nucleotide ribosomal RNA is filed under the name uncultured bacterium. Its description in RNAcentral is "bacterial SSU rRNA". It matches the Rfam family "Bacterial small subunit ribosomal RNA", at positions 338 to 1416 of the family's 1533-position model. The record is from RNAcentral.
CCUACGGGAGGCAGCAGUGGGGAAUAUUGGACAAUGGGCGAAAGCCUGAUCCAGCAAUGCCGCGUGAGUGAUGAAGGCCUUCGGGUCGUAAAGCUCUUUUACCAGGGAUGAUAAUGACAGUACCUGGAGAAUAAGCUCCGGCUAACUCCGUGCCAGCAGCCGCGGUAAUACGGAGGGAGCUAGCGUUGUUCGGAAUUACUGGGCGUAAAGAGUACGUAGGCGGUUAUUCAAGUCAGAGGUGAAAGCCCGGGGCUCAACCCCGGAACUGCCUUUGAAACUAGAUAACUAGAGUCUUGGAGAGGUUAGUGGAAUUCCGAGUGUAGAGGUGAAAUUCGUAGAUAUUCGGAAGAACACCAGUGGCGAAGGCGACUAACUGGACAAGUACUGACGCUGAGGUACGAAAGCGUGGGGAGCAAACAGGAUUAGAUACCCCGGUAGUCCACGCCGUAAACGAUGAUAACUAGUUGUUCGGUCACUUGGUGACUGAGUGACGCAGCUAACGCAUUAAGUUAUCCGCCUGGGGAUACGGUCGCAAGAUUAAAACGUANAGUAGUAGUACGGACGUGAGACGUAGCGAACGAGACACCGAGGGAGGUUAAG